RNAcentral lists this non-coding RNA (253 nucleotides) under uncultured bacterium. RNAcentral describes it as "partial 16S ribosomal RNA". It matches the Rfam family "Bacterial small subunit ribosomal RNA", at positions 524 to 776 of the family's 1533-position model. RNAcentral also lists the same sequence under 1 other name. The record is from RNAcentral.
UACGUAGGUGACAAGCGUUGUCCGGAAUUAUUGGGCGUAAAGGGAGCGCAGGCGGUUGGAAUAGUCUGAUGUGAAAGCCCACGGCUUAACCGUGGAAGGUCAUUGGAAACUGUCCAACUUGAAUACAGAAGAGGUAAGUGGAAUUCCAAGUGUAGCGGUGAAAUGCGUAGAUAUUUGGAGGAACACCAGUGGCGAAGGCGACUUACUGGUCUGUAAUUGACGCUGAGGCUCGAAAGCGUGGGUAGCAAACAGG